This 68-nucleotide transfer RNA is filed under the name Marmota monax (woodchuck). RNAcentral's name for it is "tRNA.Ala". Lineage: Eukaryota; Metazoa; Chordata; Mammalia; Rodentia; Sciuridae. The record is from RNAcentral.
GGAUUGUGGCUCAGUGGUAGAGUGCUUGCCUAGCAUGUGUGAGAUACUGGGUUCGAUCCUCAGCACCA